UGGCCAUUAUUCAAGGCAACCAUAUAUUACAUACAUAACCAUUUAGGUCCAAAUACCAUAUAUUUACAUAGAUAACCAUCUAAGCAUGCACUGCAGUUCCAUCUAAGAAAUCCAAAAGACAGACCAAAAGACACAUCCUAGCAUGCACUGCAGUUCCAUCUAAGACUUUCCAAAAGUCAGA
Long non-coding RNA from Sorghum bicolor (sorghum), 181 nucleotides. RefSeq lists it as uncharacterized. NCBI's taxonomy places the organism in Eukaryota, Viridiplantae, Streptophyta, Magnoliopsida, Poales, Poaceae. The transcript has 2 exons. The record is from RefSeq and is a predicted model, not a curated record.